Molecule: long non-coding RNA, 1366 nt
Organism: Ailuropoda melanoleuca (giant panda)
Lineage: Eukaryota; Metazoa; Chordata; Mammalia; Carnivora; Ursidae
Exons: 5
Source: RefSeq, a predicted model, not a curated record
CGUCCCUGGAAGCAGGUGGCCUCUCUUAGGGCAUGGGGAAUAGGGCAGAGCCACAGCUUUCAAUCAUUUAAAGGAAUAAGAAAACCCACCUGCAGAGGUUAUGAUGUCAUUGGCCUGGGGUGUGGUCUCCACAAGAUGAUUUUUUUUUUUAAGCUCCCCAGGUGACUCCAGGACAGCCAAAGUUGAGAAGCAGCAACCCUGACCUCCAGGACCCUCAGCUGGAAAAAUCAGUGAAGUCCAGCUGGGAUGUGACCCAAGCUCUGAGCCUUUAGCAAGAGUCCCAGGAUUCAUCGCCCCAGCUGGCUCAGAAAGGCCCAGGCUCUGGGUCAGCAGGACGGGGCUGCAGCGCCAACUUCCCAUCAGGGUCUGCGCCACAUGGGGCAAGUCUCUUGACUACUCAGAGCCUCGGUGUCGGCACCUCUAACAUGGGAUGAAUGGGAUCGUUUUGAGAAUUGGCUGCACCAGUUUCUGGUCGUCUCUGGUGGUUCUGCAGAAUCUGGCAGAUGCCAUGAAGCCGAGACCUGCUGAAAACACCUGUCGCCCCCACCUGCCCGUGUGCGUGCUGGGCUGCCUCCUCUGUCCCGGGAUGUGCGCUUAGCCACCCUUUCUGCCCGGACCUCCACUAAUACUUGCUGAUGAAGAAAAAACAUUACAAAAAGAAGAAGAAAGAGAAGAAGGAGAAGGAGAAGAAGGGGCCUGCAGCUUUUGAGAUUCAGAAGUGUUGAGUGUAUCAACAAUUCCUGGACUCUCGGCCCUUCCUCCAUCUUCAAAGAGCAUCCCUCCAGCGACCCUCCCGCCUCCCUCUUCUGAGGACUUGUGAUUAUGAUGGACCCGCCCAGAUGACCCAGGAUGAUCUCCCGAUGUCAAGACCUUUACCUUCAUCCUCGGAUCUGCAAAGCCGAUCUCCUUGCUCGUGAACCUGUGUGUGCAGGUUCUUCGGCCGCAGACACUCCACCUCUUCGGUCAGAUUCAAUUUCCUGCAACUGCUCCUGACGGGUCGUGUGCAUCUGCUGGAGCAGAAGCCUCCGAUCCUGGCUUCCGAACCCGUAAUGGGGUCCCCCUGGGGACCGUGCGGGAUGUCCUGUGUCCACAAGGACACCUUGCGUCAUCGCCAUCUCCACCACCAGAGGUCCCACCGGCAUCUCCGCGGGUCCUUCGCAGGCCAGCGGCCACAUCCCGCCUCGCCUGCGGCCCCGGCCCUCCCAGCCCCUCAGGCCUCGCCGCGUGACCUGCCCCCAGAUCCUUGGGGCCCGGGGCUCGCCCCGCGCCGCCCUACCGCUAGCACCCGGAAGCGAGAGCCGCCACCCGACGCUAGCGGACCCCACGGGUCGCAGCCUCCCAGACGAAGCUUGACAAACCCCACCCC